Molecule: ribosomal RNA, 253 nt
Filed under: uncultured prokaryote
Description: partial 16S ribosomal RNA
Rfam family: Bacterial small subunit ribosomal RNA
Source: RNAcentral
GACGUAGGGGGCGAGCGUUAUUCGGAAUUAUUGGGCGUAAAGCGCUCGUAGGCGGGACAGGAAGUCCGUGAAGAAAGACCUGGGCUCAACUCAGGGAACGGCACGGAUACUCUUGUUCUUGAGGCAAUCAGAGGGUGAUGGAAUUCCCGGUGUAGCGGUGAAAUGCGUAGAGAUCGGGAGGAACACCAGUGGCGAAAGCGGCGAACUGGCCUGCAACUGACGCUGAGGCGCGAAGGCUAGGGGAGCAAACAGG